GUGCUUCCUUCAGCAGCACAUAUAUUAAAAUUGGAAUGAUAUAGAGAAGAUUAGCACGGACCCUGCAAAGGAUGACACCCAAAUUCAUGAAAUGUUCCAUAUUUUA
This 106-nucleotide small nuclear RNA is filed under the name Dasypus novemcinctus (nine-banded armadillo). Lineage: Eukaryota; Metazoa; Chordata; Mammalia; Cingulata; Dasypodidae. The record is from RNAcentral.